RNAcentral lists this transfer RNA (72 nucleotides) under Bos taurus (domestic cattle). It matches the Rfam family "tRNA". Rfam says of the family: Transfer RNA (tRNA) molecules are approximately 80 nucleotides in length. Lineage: Eukaryota; Metazoa; Chordata; Mammalia; Artiodactyla; Bovidae. RNAcentral also lists the same sequence under 1 other name. The record is from Rfam by way of RNAcentral.
UCCCUAGUGGUCUAGUGGUUAAGACUCUGCGGUUUCACUGCAGGGGCACAGGUUCCAUCCCUGAUCAGAGAG